UACAACCUAAAUGAAAUAUAAAGUAAAAGUGUAUCAAUGGCAGGCAAAACCAUAAACAAAUUCUAGAAUAUCUCAAAACCCGAUGUCACAAGUGCAUGAGCAUCUACUAAAAAGUACAAUAACAAUACAAUAUCUGUCUGGAAUACAAGAUAGACAGAAUAAAGUAAAUAAUUAUGAUAGAGACUAUGUGUAGCGAAUCUUAGCAUGGAAUGCAUCUUACCAUAAAGUCGCCUCAGUAGCUGCACCUACGCACCCAAAUGACCACCAAAUAAACCUGUCAAAUCCUGCACAUUUAGUGCAGAAGUGCAGUAUGAGUACGUAAAUCAACACGUACCCAGUAUGUAUCUAGUCUAACCCUAAAGAGGUAGUGAUAAGGAGAUGACAUUGAUACUUACUAGUGGUCCAGUAGAUCAAAUGUAAUAAAGUAUAAAAGUAUGAAACAUGGUAAAUAAAUAAUGAGAAUAGAUAUAGGAAAAUAGUACGGUCUACAGUUGAACAAUGAACACAAAGUCCUCAACUAUCAGAUACCUCCUCAAAUGGAAUACGUAAUGGUCAAUACUAAACCAACAGUCACAUUUCAAGUCAGGAAACUCAUGAGUAUGCGAAAUCCUGAUUAAGUAUUCCGCACGAUUUUACCGAGGCAAGCAGCCCGAUCCCAUAAAAGUAUUUUAUAGAACUGCCGACACAAAUGACACGAUCCCAUAAGAGUGUUUCAUAGAACUGCCGAGGAAAAUGGCCCGAUCCCAUUAGAGUGGUUCAUAAAAUUAUCGAGGUGAACGACCAUAUCCCAUAAGAAUAUGUUACUCUGCCAAGGAAAAUAGCCCGAUCCAUAAGAGUGUUUCAUAUUGUUGAGGAAAACAACCCGAUCAACAUAAAAAUAUGUUACUUAGAUAAGGCGAACGACACGAUCCCAUAAGAGUAUGUUAAAUGAUACCGCAAAGGCGAACGACCCGAUCCCAUAAAAGUGUAUCACAUUAUACCACCGAGGAGAACGACCCCAUCCCAUAAGAGUGUAUUACAUGAUAUCGUCGAGGCAAAUGGCCUGAUCGCAUAAGAAUAUAUUACAUGAUACCGCCAACGCGAACAGCCCGAUCCCAUAAGAGUAUUGCUGAUGCAUACAGCUCGAUCCUAUUAGAAUAUAAAACUUUUAAAGGUCACUGACCACACUCACGAAUAUAUGUGUGAGUUAUAAAAUUCAAGAAAAACUAUCGGAUGAAUACACACACGCGGAAGAAAUCCGCAAAGGAAAGUACAAUUUCCACAGCUAAUCAAGUAGCUCCUCAAGUAUCUAAAAUAGCAAGUCUGAUACUCUACGCGAGUAUAGUCUCAUANNNNNNNNNNNNNNNNNNNNNNNNNNNNNNNNNNNNNNNNNNNNNNNNNNNNNNNNNNNNNNNNNNNNNNNNNNNNNNNNNNNNNNNNNNNNNNNNNNNNNNNNNNNNNNNNNNNNNNNNNNNNNNNNNNNNNNNNNNNNNNNNNNNNNNNNNNNNNNNNNNNNNNNNNNNNNNNNNNNNNNNNNNNNNNNNNNNNNNNNNNNNNNNNNNNNNNNNNNNNNNNNNNNNNNNNNNNNNNNNNNNNNNNNNNNNNNNNNNNNNNNNNNNNNNNNNNNNNNNNNNNNNNNNNNNNNNNNNNNNNNNNNAAAAUUGAAUUUCUUGAUUCCAUUCUUCACUGCAAGAAUUUCCUUGAAAGUGGAGUGAUAAUAUUUUUCCGCAUCUUUGAACUUUCCGCUUGCAAAUCUACAUAUUUUUCUCUGGCCAUCUUUUAUUUCAAAUAGAACAACAUUCUAGUAUUCAUUGUUGGCAUCAGCUUGCAGUAUUUUCUUACCUUUUGAAGGGAUGUAGAGGGAUUUGACAUCAUUAUAUAUCUACUUUAUUUCCCAGACUAUUUCAUCUUGUUCCUUUCCCCAUGGCGGAGCAUUUUUCUUGAGCAUCUUUGUGAGCAGAGAAAUGUAUGUAGAGAUAUUUGGAAUAAAUCUCUUACAUAAUUUACUACACCCAAGAAUUGUAGGAUCUUCUUUGUUGUGAGGCUGGUAUCAGGAAAUUUGAGUAGCUCCUGACAUAUAUGUGGUCCUGGACUGUAUACACCUUGGACAAAAUGCAUUCCGAGAAAAUCAAUCUCCUUUUGAGCAAGAACCAUCUUUUUUGCUCAAAGAAUGAUCACGUAAUGUGUUACCAAUGCCUCAAAUUGAUGAAGCAAGAUGAUAUGUUCCUCCAAUAUAUUACUAAAUAACAGGAUGUCAUCAAUGUAAACUAAAGAGGUAUGGAGGAUGGGCUGGAAGAUUUUUAUCAUGGCUUUUUUUUGAAAAAGGAGGGGGCAGUUUUUAAUCUGAAGGGAAUGACUUUCUAUUGGAAGUGAUGAUUGGGGAUGCAAAAUCCUGUUUUGGCUCAUUCUUCGGGAUGGAUUCCCAAUUGCCAAAAUGUAGAUUUAAAAUCAAACUUGGAAAAAUAUUUGGCCUUUGCUAAGUGAGAGAAAAGAGAGUUUAUUUGGGAUAUGGAAUUUAUUAUCUUGGAGGAAAUAGUUAAGUGACUGGUAGUUAAUAACUAACCCGAGUUUUCCUCUUGUUUGUCCAGCUCUUUUGUUGACAUAAAAUGUUAUGCUUGCCCAUUGUGAAUCUGAUGGCUCUAUUAGAUCAAAUUCCAAGAGUUUUUCAUCUUCUUUCUUUGCAAGCUAAAGAUUAUAUGGAUUCAUGCAUGAAUGACUGGCUUUUGUUGGAUUGAUAUUUUUAUUCUUCUUGAAAUGGAGCUUGAUAAAAAACUCUUCAUUCUUUCAUAAUGGGAUUUUCCCUUUUUUCAUAAAAUCCUUGUGGGAUUCAACACAUGAAUGCUCAAUAAGAUUUUGUUCAAUCUCCUUGAUUUGUUCGCCAUUGGUGAUUUGGAAUAGCCUUGGAAUUUCAUAAUAAGAUUUGAAUUGCUUCUUAAAGGUUAACCCGUUAGCCCUUAUCUGGAGUUGAUCAUUUAGUUGUCUGAAAAUGUCGAAUCCAACAAUAAGAUAUUUUCUUGGUACACUGAAUCCUAUCAGCUUGGUUCUGUACUUCAAUAUUGGAAAGAACUCAAUUGUGACCGGGUGCUUUGUAAUGACGGUGGUAGUCCGGAUUCCAUUUGAAGCAGUGUUGAAAUCCUUAAAGUAAGGAACCCAUUGUUCUUCAGGGAGAAUAGCAGGAUUCAUGAGUGAACAAACAACUCAAGUGUCAAUGAAAGCAAUGACUCGAGUUGGUUUAUCCUAUUUGGAUGGAUAAACCUUGAGUUCCACUUGAGGGAUUACUAUGAGAGCGUUAAUCUCUUCCUGGGCUUUAGUUGUUGGUUCUGAAUUUUUGUAGUGGUCAUCAUUAUGAUCUUCGUAUAUGUCAAUAGAGAAUAAGGUUUCUUCAGUGGGUUCAUCAUCCAUAGAGAAUAUGGACUUGAGUUCCUCUUUUUUCCGAGAUGUAUGCCAGUGUAAUAUUCAAUCUCUUCGAGGAGUUUGACCAAUUUCCUUGAUUGGGGACAAUUUCUUGCGAAAUGUCUGAUCUUGUGGCAAAUAAAGCAUCUGUUCUUUUCUGAAAAUUUCCUAGCCUCCUUUGUCUGAAAUAUUUUGUGCGCCUCUUGGACCAUGAUUUCCCAUCUAGAGUUCUUGGCCAUCUGAACCUUCUGAAUCCUCUCCGUCACCUAGAUGUGUGGCAGGAACAUCCUGAUUCGGUAAUCAGAUCAGAUUUGCGGCAUGCUUUGUCAAGUGUUGGAAUGUGUUAGAUAAUUUGUUUUAGGGCAGAUCGCUUCAUACAAAUGUCAUCCAAUGUGACGAAAAUAGCUUGCCUGAUGUAGUCGACUUGUGAGAUUGAUAUUGACUGAAACGUUUCUUCAAUGAUGGUCAUGGUUCGUCUUGCCAACAACUUUGGAAGGGAAGAGACAAAGGCUUGCUUCACGUUGAUGUCUCUGUCGAUCUCGAAGUAUAUCUUCACUAUUUUUUAAAAAUGCUUGUCAAUGUCAUUUCUGUCGAAUGACACACACUUCAUCUCGAAUUUUUGUCUCCUCAUCUUUUCUUAUCUUUGGACAGUAUCUCCACAAAAAACUUAAUGUAGGAUUCUAAUUUUGAAGGAAAAGUCCUAGGAAGGAAGAAAGGUAUUUUUGUUUUGAAUCCCAUGUAAGUUCCACCAAUAUCUGAGGAUUCUUGAGAACCAUGAAGUGAGUUCUGACAGGAUGAUAUACUUUUCUCGUUCCACCAGAUUUUUGGUAACCAUCCAAGUAUAGAAGUCUUGGAUCCUUUGAGACCAUUUUAAAACCUUGAUGUCAUCUAAGGUGAAAGUGUAGAAGCCAGUUCCAAUUGGUUUUGAUGCCAUGGGCUCAUAUCUUCUUUAUGGGAUUGGUUCAUAUGUCAUGCCUUCUUGAUACGCAUCUACUUCAUAAAAAAUUGGGUCUCUUGGCUGUUUAAAAUAUUGGGGGAUUGUCUUCUUCGGAAGAGUUCAUUGUGGAUUCAUUGCCUGAUUGAGAGCUAUCUUCCAUUGUAUCCUCGUCUGAUGAAUUUAGUGAUUCCGACCAUGUGGUAUCUCCUUCUGACAUGUUUUUAGGUUGGGUGACAUAGAGGUUUGGAACCUUAUGAUCAGAAAUCAUCAGGUUUUUGGGGUUGGACCCUUUUGAACUUUCUCCAUGAUCUCGCCUUUUUUGGUUUGUUUUUGGGCCGCAAGAGCAUAUUUCCUUUCCUAAACCAUUUUUGCAAUAUCAAAAUCAUGUUCUUGCUUUAAGGGUUGGGUGAAAGAAAUAGGAUUUUGUGAGGUAGUAGGAAAAGUAGAAAAGGUGUAGUCCAAUUUAAGUAGGGAAUAUGCUUGUGGCGACAUAGGGAAGAAGGUAGGUUUUGAAGGGAAAAUUGGGGUCUUUUGUGACACAAAGUGGUCAUUUCUCAAAAGUUAAAUUUGUUUUCCGAUGGAAAUCGUCUCAUUUUGUUGUUGUUGGAAAAUUAGAAAAGUGAAGUUCCUAGCAGACAAAUCUCAUAUUGUAAAUUUGCCAACCUUAGUUCCAAGGCUUUGAUUAGUCCCGCAUGGUGAGGCGAUGUCUGCUCCACCUUUUCCUCAAUUGUUUCCACUUUGCUCGUCAUUUUGUUUUGUGUAUGGGCCACGUUCUUUAUGUGUUGCCAAUGUUUUUCAGCACUUUGUUUUGACAGUUGGAAUUUGCUCAUUUCCAGCUCAUUUUGGCCUCGAUAUCACUAAUUGGGGGGUUUUUCUCCAGUAGCUAGCACUAUAUUUUUCUUGGGAAUUUUUAGAGCAUGGCUUAUACCCUCUUUUUCAAAAGAUUGAAGUGAAGGAAAAUCUUGGGUAUGACUGAGCUUGAAGGGCUUAACAUGAAUAUUUGUGGUUUUGUGGGCUUUGGGGUUUUUUGAGUUGGUAAAGUUUUAGGUUCAGGUGGAUUUUUGGAUUCUGAGGUAUGAGUUGAUGGUAGUUUGGGUUUGGGUGUUAUUUCACUAUCUUCCCAGCUUUGAGUGAAUUUUUCUGGUAAUUUAGGCCAUUCCUGGGGUUUGUAAUUGACAAGAAAUUCGUAUUUAUCCGAACGACUUAGUAAGCCAAUUGAAGGAUCUUUAUUUUCAUAUUUGGCUUGAAAUUGCUUUUCACUAGUUUUCCCUUUUUUCUUGGAUUUUGGUUUGGUAUUGUUGAGGCCAAAUCUUUCCAAAAGAUACAGGUGGUAUUCAUCAUAUUCUCCAAUUGGAUCUUCCAAACAGUCUUGGCAGUCGCAACCAAUAUCCCAAGGGCAGUGUCCGGUAAAGGGGCAUUUGAACCACCAAAAUCUUCUGCCCUCUUUGUCGAAAUGUUGACACCAGUCAUGUUCUUCCAUGAUAGUUUGUAUAUUCCAGAAGGGUUCACUUUCAGGGUUAGGGUCUGUAUCUUUGGAUUUGAUCACUUGGAAAGAAAAGAUGGUUUUAUUGGAUUUUUUGAGAUGGGAAUGGUCAAAGCUUAUGGAAAUGAUUUUGUCAUUUCUUUUAGUAAAAGUGGGCUCACCAGAUUGCAGAGAUUCCUCAGGUUCCCUUAGCUUUUCAUAAUUUGUGAUCCAGGAAUCAGGAAGAAUUUUAUUGAGCUCAUUUCUGGGAGUUUGUCUGGGUAUUUGGGUGCACAUGGUAUUUCCUUUGGUAGCAUCAAUAUUCAAGAGUAAAGCAUUUUCUCCUCCAAGAAGGAAGAGAUCCAUGGCAUGAUUUUGGACCCGCCACACCAUUUGGUGAUGAAGAGUGGCUUGGAUAGCAUCUUUGGCUUGUGGGGCUCCCUAGAUUUGGAUUUGGAUUUUUAAUGCUUUGAUUAGGUAUGGGUCAUGAAGAGACAUGUUAAAAUUUGGAAAGAUAGUUAUGAAGACAUUCCCAUCAUUCAAGGUAACUUUUGCAGUACCCAAAUUUGCAUGUUGGUACUCAUAGUAUCUUGUAUCUAUAAGAGAGAGUCGAGCAACAAUGGGUUGACCUUUUCUUCCCUGAUAUGUUAAAGCAAUUCGGAUAGCACCAAAAUGGAUAUGGGUAAAUCCAUGAUUUCUCCAUUAUCUAUAAAAAUCAUCUGAGAUUUGAAGGGUGAUAAAUUGUUCUUCUCGAGUGGCAAGACUAGGAUGUUGGUCAAGUUUUGAGGCAGCAACAUAUUCUUUGACUCAUUUUGGUCUUUGUUAGACUAGGUAAUGAAUUUGGGUCUAUGGUGCAAAUUAUGUUUUUGCAAAAGCUGAGCAAGGGUUUAUGAGGGGUAGUUCAGUGGAGGUUACUUUCUGUUCGUCAGGUAGGAUAUCUACUUCAUAGAUGUAAUCAUAUUUUUUGGAAAAAGUUUUAUAUAGAGUAGGGGACAUAUUCAACUUUGCAAAGGAAGAGGAUGAUGGAAACAACUCAGACAUAUUUAGUAAAUUGUUCCUCUAGCCAAAAGAAUGGGCUAGCUCUGAUACCACAGUAUAAAGAAUUGAGCAAGAGACUCCAAGAAAGCAAACUAAAUCAUAGAUACGAAAGUUUCCCUACAUCACCACCCGGUAUGAUAUUGAAUAGAAAUAUCAUAGUAGGUAGAGGUGCACCCGUUCUGAGUUUCGGGCAUUCCCUCACCAUAUGACGGGUAUCACCACACUCAAAGCAGGACGCAGCUGAUGAAACUCACUCGGGCUUGGUUGACUAGACUGACCAUUGAAAGCACCCUAUGCUGAAGGUACACUAGACAGUGGCGGUGCAUAAUGAGCAACCUGAGGCCUAAGAGUAGCGCGAGUACCACUAUAAGUUGGAAGUGUUGAAUGAACUGGACGGCUCAUAUAGCCUCUACCAUGAAGGGCUAUAACUAGAGAACGAGCACCAUUAUAUCCGCCAGAAUCUCGAGGCCUCAUGGCCUCCAUAUCCUCCCUCUCCCAGCCUCGCAUACCCUCUAAUCUCCAUGCGAUAUUACCACCUGCUGGUAUGGAGUGUCUAUCUCCAACUCUCAAGCUAUGCUAAAUCUAAUACCAUAGUUGAGCCCCUCGAUAAAUCGACAAACUCGCUCUAUAAUUGUGGAAACAAAGGUAGGUGCAUGUCUGGACAACUCACUGAAUCUGACAGCAUACUCUAGCACAGUCAUAGGACCCUGGCAUAGCUGUUCAAACUUUGGGCGCCAUGCAUCUCGAAAACUCUGGGGAACAAACUCUCUCAAGAAUAUCUCUGAAAACUGAGCCCAUGUGAUUGAAGCUGCCUCGGCUGGCUUACCCUCCUCAUAAGACUACUACCACUAGUAUGCCAGUUCCGACAGCUAAAAAGUAGUGAAAGCAACCCUGCUCGUCUCCACUCUACCCAUACGGUGGAACUUCUACAAAAAACCCUAUGCAUCCUCUGUAGCUAGGCCGCUGAAAGUAGGAGGAUGUUACUUCUUGUACCUCUCAAGUCGGAGUUGCUCUCCUCAGAUAUUGCUGCCCUAACCUUAGGCUGAACUGGGACGACCGGAUGCACUAGUAUAGCCUCUAGGCCCUGAUCAAUAUGGAAUCGCUGAUCUGGGUAUGAGUUGUGGGAGUAUGAGCUUCUCCCCCAGCCUGAGAUGUGGCGGGUGCAAGUGUAAUCAACCCCACCUGAGCUAGAGUACCAAACAUGCUCAAGAAUUGUAUGAGGGUCUCCUGAAUUGCAGGGGUGGAAACAUACACCUCAAGUUCCUGCCCCACAACUGGAGCAACUGAUGGCUCCUCUGUUGCAGCUUGGGCAGGUGCUCUAGCUACUCAACGUUCCCUUCCUCGACCUCUGCUCCGCCCCCUCCCCAGCCUCUUGCAGCUCUAGUAGGGGGCGUGUGUGUCUAAUCGUUGAAUUUAGCAGUGCAUGUCCUCACCAUCUGUAAAAGGACAGAAAGACAAUGAUUCAUAAUUUCGAAGUCACUAAAUUCACACGAUAAGGAGUCAAAGAAGUGAAGUUUCCUAACAGUACCAUUGCCCCUCGUAGAUAAGUAUAGAUAUCUUAGUACCGAUCCGCGAGACUCUACUAAAUCUUGUUAUGACUCGUAACACCUAUGAACCUAGAGCUCUGAUACCAACUUGUCACGACCCCAAUCUCCCUCUGUAGGAUGUUGUAAUGGCACCUAAUCUCUAACACUAGGUAAGCCUAACAUAUAUGAAGAAUUUAACGGAAACAAUAAUAAAACUUCCAAUUUAAACCAAUAGCUAUCAUAGAAAGGACUCCGCAAUCCAACUGAACCUAACUCCCUAAAUCUUGUAAUACCGAGUCACAAGCUUUACACGAGUAUACUUAACAUCCCAUAAUUUAUGAAAAGGAGAACGAAAUAGAAACUAGAUAGAGGGUGACUCCGAGACCUGCAAAUGCCGGUAGGUAUACCUUGAAGUCUAUGAUCCAAGCCCGACUCACGGAUGCCUAGGCUAGUAUGAAGUACUUGGAUCUGCACAAAAAGAUGUGCAGAAGUGUAGUAUGAGUACGCCACAAUGGUACCCAGUAAGUAUCAAGCCUAACCUCGAUAGAGUUAUGAUGAGGUCAGGUCAAGAAACCUACUGGAAUAAAUAAACAAAAUGAACAAGUAUAGUGUAGUAUGAUAAUGAAAACAAGGAAAUGAUAUAAGGAAGAAAUAUAACAAGAAUACCUACACUGAGACUAAGGUAAUUAAGACAUCAUGGAAGAAACACAUAAUAAGAAUGCCAAGGAACUGAUGCAAAUAAAACACAAGUGAUAUAACUGAAAGGUAUCAACCAGAAUCACUACUGAGGUACCGCCUCGUAGUCUCAUUUCACAAUUCAAAUUACAAUCUUUCCUUAUACACUACGGGAGCCUUGAAUUUUCCCGAAAUAGCUACCCGCGUCUUAGCCCACCUUAUCACACCGCGUGGAUUCAAGUAAUUCCCCUACUAGCAACACGCAUAUCAAGCUCACCUUAUCUCACUGCAUACAUUUUAACCCCAAUCCAUAUACCAACGCAUGCAUAUUCAUAUCACAACACAUCACAAAUCGCGCCUCAAAUGCUCAAUACUACAACUUUCUAAAGAAGUCAACAAUAAUAGUAUUUUCACAAUAAAUAGCCCAUGGCUAAACCACAAUAUGUACAAGAGUCUUAACAAUAGCAACCAAAAAUGAAUAACUCAACAAGAAUGGUAUUUCAACAAAUUUACAAUUUUGCCUCAAUGUGAAUCACGACCUUUAUAACUUCAACACCAUAAUUCAACAAUAAGAUCUUCCAAGAAAUAACAAAUUCAAGUAAAGGAACUAUGUCAAGUAAAUCACGUAAGGAUAGGUUAACGAUUAUGAAGAUAACAUGUUAUGACAAUUUAAUUAAAGGCAUGAAAGAAUCUACGUAGCUCAAGCCGGUGAAUUACCACAUUUAGCCUGUGUACCCACUCGUCACCUUGCGUACACAGUUUUCAUAUACCACAAUUAACACAAAACAACACCAAUCCUAAGGGGUAAUUCCCCACACAAAGUUAGGCAAUGCACUUACUUAAAAACACGCUAACUCAAUCCACUACUAAGCCUUUUCCACGAUUAUCCAACUCCGAACGACUCGAAUCUAGCCAAAAUAGCAUUAUGCCAUAAACACAAACCAUAAAAAAUUAUUCCGAAUAAUAAAGGUGCAAUCUUUAAAGAAUAUCAAAAAUUCAACUUAAAAAGUCAACCCCGUACUUGCAUCUCGGAACCCGGCCAAACGUAUGAAAUCCCAACACUCAUUCGAUAAUGAGUCCAACCAAACUAGAAUUAUUCAAAUAUGAACUCAAAUUGCCAAAAUUUGGUCUAUCAAGUUUCAAAAAAAUUUCCCAAAUUUUCCAACUCAAAACACUAAUUAAAUUACAAAAACACGACGGAUUCAUGUACAAUAGCCAAAUCCGAGUUAGAAUCACUUACCCCGAUGAAUUCAUUGAAAAUCCCUCUAAAAAUCCCCAAAAACCGAGCUCUCUAGGGAAAAAAGAUGAAGAAUGAAACAAAACCCUUGUUUUUGAAAUUUAACACUGCUACCCAGUUAUCCUAUCUCACGAUCGCAGACAAAAGACUCGCGAUAGUGGAGAACAAAUCUCCUCAGCUCAAAAAAAGACAAUAUGCUAUCGUAUGACUAUAGUCAUGAACGCGAUGGCAGGAGCUGCCAAGGUUACACGAUUGCGGACAACACCACGUGAAAGUGAAAGAACAACGCAAGCCUCAGCACCGACUCGCCUUCUUUAUAUGCGAAUACGUUCAUAUCCAUGCAGUCACGAUGCACAAGCUCCCAAACCUUCGCGAUCAAACCAUCCCAGCAGUCCCUAAGGAUUCUACGUGAUCAUAGGAGAACCUUCGCGAACGCAUAGAAGGAAACUAGAACAGAAAAACCAGCAGUCCUAGUUCAAGAGCAAAUGGUCUGAACUCAAUCCGAAACACGUUCGGGCCCUCCGGGACCCCGUCCAAACAUACCAACAAGUCCUAAAACAUGAUACAAACUCGCUCGAAGCCUCAAAUCAUAUUAAGCAAUACUAAAACCACAAAUUGUACAUCGAUUCAAGCCUAAUGAACUCAUGAAUCCCUAACUCCUAAAUUAAUGUUGAAACAUAACAAACAAACCCCAAUUGACCUCAAAUUUCGCACACAAGUCAAAAUUGACAUAACUGACCUAUUCCAACUUUUGAAUCCAAAAUCUGGACCCGAUAUCAAUAAAUUCAACUCCCGGUCAAACUUCUCAACCUUCCAAACCUUCAACUUUUCAACUUUCGCCAAUUCAAGCCAAAAAGACCUACGGACCUCCAAAUCAAUAUUCGAACAUCCUCCCACGUUCAAAAUUACCAUACGGAACUAUUGAAAUCGUCAAAACUCCUUUCUGAAGUUGUCUACACAAUAUUCAAAUUCUGGUCAACUCUUUCAACUUAAACUUUCAACUUUUGGAUUAAGUGUCUCAUUUUUCACUCUGAAACUCGCCCGAACGAAAACCAAACAUCCCGGCAAGUCACAUAACCAUAAUAGAAUAUAGAGGAGGAAAUAAAUAGGAGAAUGGGACUAAAAUACUCCAAAUGACCAGCCGAGUCAAUACAAUGUCUUUACUCUAUUUUGACAUAACAUUAAUUCUAUUUUAUUCUUAAUCGCAAGCAUUUGUUACAAUUUCAUUUGGGCUUUACAUUGAUUUUAUCUGCAUUUAAAUGUUAUGUUGGGCCUUGUCACUAAUGUUUGCCUUUCUAUUUUGCACAUGUGAUCAAAAUGGGCCUGUUGAGUUCUCAAGAACUCAGGUUCAAGUUCUAGCCUCACGUCUGAAGUCAUUGAAGUUGUUGCUACUAUUCGUUUUCCAUUGGGCCUGACAUUCUUUAGGCCCAAACCAUGAGUCCAAUUCCCUUUGUUUUAUCGCUUUUAUAUAAAUUUGUUGUUGUUUCUAUGUAUAUAUAACACUGAUAAUAUUGAGAGAAUGAUUUUCUCUUGUAUCAUUUUUUAAUUAUUUUAGAAACUUAGGCAAGUUGAAAAAUCAUAAGUAAUAUCAAAAGGAAUGGCAAUCUCUUCAAUCAGUUAAAUAACUUCAACUUAUUUAAUUAUUUCUAUUAUACAAUUUUCACUUUCAUCUCUACUAACCGUUUUUUCAUGAAUUUUUGAAGUUCAAAACAGAUUUGAAAAGUCGACAAUCAUCUUUCUUUAAAAGCCAGAAUUGGGCAGAUAAUUUCAAAGUCGAGUUAUCUACAAAACAAAUGAACACAAUUGCGAUCAAAGAACUUCAAACGAUGUUCUUCUAAACUUGGAUGCAGAAUAUGGAAGAGUUUUCAAGGUAUAUCUAAACCCAUUUCUCCAAUAACUCUUAUUUCACUACAGCUACAGAAAUAGCCAUUUUGUUUCACAAGUAAAAAGUAUUUUUAAACCUAGCCAUACUUAUAAAGUUUACAAAUAAAGCCUUAUAGUCCUACUUUCAAAAGUUCUUUCAAUCACGUAAAUAUGAACACUUUUCAAGGCUUUUACAAAUGAAAACUACACUCUCCUUUCAAAAUUGCAUACAUCAUUUUCAAGUGAUAAGUUUUAGUCAUGACAUAGAGUAAGCUACAUAUUUUUAAGCACUAACCAGUAGAAUAUAGACAUUUAAUUUCCUAAACCUAGUCUAAGUCCUAUGGUGCUACCUUAGGUAUAUUCUAGGAGGUGCGUAACACCUUCCCCUUAGAAGAACAAGAACCCUUACCCAAAUUUCACUGGUUAGCAGACCAAUAAAUAAUAAUUUAAUAAUUGAAUAGGUAUCGUAGUAUACCUAUAAAUAUUAUAUGGCGACUCUUUUUCAUCAUCAAUAGGGACACUACUAGUUCAAUCUUACUUUGACUCGUGCAAAAUAUGGUGCAACAACAAUGUCCUACUCUGGAGUGUGAUUAGAUGAGGUUUGGGCUCCCUCUCCAGCCUGAGAAGUGUCUACGACCGCAAGAAUUAUCUGUACAUGUGUUAAACCUCAAAAUAACUCAAAAUUUGGACCAUGGUUUCCUUAAGCACUAGAAUAGCAAUAAAACCUUGGGAACUUGUGUUGGACCGAUUGGAACAACCUGAUCUACCACUGGAGCUAGGUGGCUCCUCAGAAGCAUCUAUUGUACGUGCACGAGUAAUUGCGGGUGCUCCACCUCUUAGGGGUGCUGCCAUACAUACCUUGGUCUGAGAUCCAGCCCUACCUGAGCCCUGCCUCCUCUAGAUCCGGCCUAGGGUAUUGGCUUCUGCUUAACCGUUACGGAUGCAUGUGGCCUCACCUUCUAUAAGAGAAUAGAAGAGUAAGGUUCAAACACUAAGAUAAAACAAGGGACGCACAAUAAGGAAAGAAAGAAGGAAAUUUUCCUAAAUCCCUGUCACACCUCCUUUUUACCCGCCCGUGAGGGAUAUAAGGGAGUUUUUCCAAUUAAAGUGACAUUAAUCGAAAUGGGAUUAAUUAAUUUAUUUUUUAGAGUCGCCACUUGGAAUAGUUUAUUAUCGUGUCCCAAGUCACCGGUUUAUUAUAAAAUCCCCAGUCGAGGAAAUUUUCGACUUUAUUUAAAAGUCUGCGAACCAGAAAUUCUAAGUAAGGAAUUUUGUUAACCUGGGAGAAGGUGUUAGGCAUUUCCGAGUUCCGUGGUUCUAGCACGGUCGCUUAAACUAUUAAUAAUUGGCUUAUUAUCUGAUUUACUACACAUUUUAAACCUAUUGUGCAUUUUUAACUUUAUAACCGCCUUUUAAUUAUUUUAUGGAAUUAUUCUGGAACAAGUUACGAUUGUUGUACACUUGUUUGUGUGAUACACAUUGCGAAUUAUGUCACGGGAACCGUACCCACGAUCUACAAUAUGUCUAAUUUAUUAAAGUUAUUAGAAGGUGUGGCCAGGUCACAUAAAUGUACCUCCGGAUUUGGAAAUUAGGUAUCACAGCUAAGUCAUGGGAACCAUACCCGUAGCUAUGAUGAUUUUAUUAUAAACGCGCCUAAAGCAAACUACGAGUGUUUAAAAAGGUGUCUUUCCAUACUAAGUUAAUAUUAAUGUGAGGGCCAUAGGUUAUGGCUUUUAUUUGUGUAUGGCACACCGCAAUUUAUUUUUGAAAGAAAAGAUUUGUAUUUUUGUAAGGCAAACUAAAGAUGCUCCUACUUUAAUCUAAUUUAAAAUUAGGUAUCACAACCACGUCACAGGAAUUGUGCCCGUAGUUGUAUUAAUUUAAUUGCGUGCAUAAAGCAAACUACAGUGUUUCAAAUUUGUGAUUCAUAGCCAAUUUGGGAUUGUUGUGAAUGCUCUGACUUAUGGACUUGACUUAUUUGGGAAGAAAAACAUACUAAUACUACGGAGAAAAGACAAAUCUAGGAUGCAUUACUGCAUGGAGUAUGAAUUUUUCAACACAUUUUGAAAGGAAGAAAAAAAAGCCAUGUUAAUUAGUUAGGUUUGUUCGUGUUCCACUUGAUUUCCACAUCAAUUUUAUUUUUUAUUUUUUUAUUUUUACAACAAAAAAGUUCAAAGAACUUUGCCACACAUGCCUAAGAUAAAUAUAUUUAAUUAACAAUGCUACAAAAUAUAUAUUAUAACAUGAAGCAACAUUUCAAAUGGUAAUCACCAAAUAUACAAGUAUUUAGACGUCUCUGUGAGUGAAGAAAGCACAUGUUCCUUUUAAUUCAGAUGCCAAAAAAAAAAACGAACAUCUCGAGGUAUCCUGGGAACAGAAAUUGGAAUAACUGACAUGAACAGAUCUUUUCAACAUAUAUACUGGGACAGCCUCAAGCAGCAAAGUUAAAAUCAAGUAGGCUCCUUAUUCAUAUGUAAACUCAAAGCAAUUAAAUACUAAUAUUCCCACCAAUCAAAUAUCAAAUCAGUGAUCAUAGAGUCAUAUCGAACUAUAAUCCGACAUGUCCAAACCAAGCAGAUUCAUAAAUUUAUAUGCUUGUCCAAAGUGAAGCAACAGAUUUAACAAAAUGACAUGGAAAAACUGGAGCCAAAUCAAAUCAGUAUUUUAUGCAUUCAAAACUAGCAACAAUCAGAAAAUUAGAAGUGUACCUACCUUGUAUUUUAAAAGAAACGAAGGAAAAGCGAAACGAAGCUCAACAGCAAUUUCCCGUCCACAACAAACAACAAUCGCAGCAAGACAACUCCAAUUAGAGCUUCGAUAACUUGGAUCCUAAAUAAGAUACGGGCAUCGAGAGAAGAGUUCCAAUCAAGGGCAGCCACAAUAGCUCGAGCUACAUCGCUUGCUAUACCAUUUUCCUCUAUCUUUUUUAGCUGUUAAUUAAUGCUUCAAUAGAUUCUUGAAGUUGUACAUUAUUCACCUUUGAAAAGGGUUUUAAAAGGAAGAAAGAAAAAAUUGGAAAGAGGGUUUUAAGCAAAUAUGUCAGUUAUUUGCACUCUGCGAUGGUGGACAGAGUGGGGAUAGAGGAAAGGUGCUUCAUCUUUUUUGGGCUAUAAUUUGUGUGUCGUGUGGAGAAAAUGAAGAAGAAGAAAGAGAGGUCUAAUCUUUUUUGUGGAAACAACGCUGAGGGGGUGGAUCC
RNAcentral lists this long non-coding RNA (15306 nucleotides) under Nicotiana tabacum (common tobacco). Its description in RNAcentral is "long non-coding RNA (NTAB_LNC002801)". Lineage: Eukaryota; Viridiplantae; Streptophyta; Magnoliopsida; Solanales; Solanaceae. The record is from RNAcentral.